RNAcentral lists this ribosomal RNA (873 nucleotides) under Triticum aestivum (bread wheat). Its description in RNAcentral is "partial small subunit ribosomal RNA". Lineage: Eukaryota; Viridiplantae; Streptophyta; Magnoliopsida; Poales; Poaceae. The record is from RNAcentral.
AUGGCCUACUUCAAUGAGAAAGCGAAGGAAGAUCCAGAUUUCUUCUAUAGGAUAAGAUUGGACGAUGAGGACCGUGUCAGGAACAUGUAUUGAGUGGAUGGUGCUGCAAGAAGAGCCUACAAACAUUUCCGAGAUUGCAUUUCAUUCGACGCGACGUAUCUCACUAAUAUGUACAAGAUGCCAUGCGCUCCAUUCAUAGGAAUAAAUAACCACAAUCAGUCGUUGCAGUUCGAAUGCGGGCUCGUUUGGAACGAAGACACGGAUGGGUACGUUUGGCUGUUCAAGACCUUCUUGGAGUGCAUGGAAGGACUUGCUCCGAUGAACAUAAUAACAUACCAGGAUUUUAGCAUGCGUGCAGGCCUAGAGGAGGUCUUUCCGUUGGCAGUGCACAGGCACUGCAGGUGGCACAUUAUAAAGAAGGUUGAGGAGACUCUAGGACCAUUCUUUGCUGACCGUCCAGAGCUGCACAAGGCAUUCGAGCUGUGCGUGGACCAUAGCUUGACGGUGGAGGAGUUUGAAAGGAGCUGGAUGGCCAUGAUUGAAACAUAUCAAGUCCAAGACAACGAGACUCAUGGUAGCCUGUGGGAGAAGCGAAUGUACUGGGUGCCGGCCUACUUCAUGCAGUGCUUCUUCCCGUUUCGGCAGACUAUGCAUCGCAGCGAGGGGUUCAAUGCUAUUUUGAAGCGGUACGUGAGCCCUGGCAACUCAUUGCUACAGUUUGCCAAGCAAUACACAACUUUGCAACAAAAAAUACUGGGAUCUGAGCUACAGCAAGAAGCGAACACCGCGCUAAAGCAGCCAAAAUUGCUAACAUAUUUACCGAUGGAGAGGCAAAUGAGCAAGAUAUACACCAACAAGAUAUUUAACAAGUAA